GGGGAUUUAGCUCAGCGGUAGAGCGCUUGCCUAGCAAGCACAAGGUCCUGGGUUCAGUCCCCA
Molecule: transfer RNA, 63 nt
Filed under: Rattus norvegicus (Norway rat)
Lineage: Eukaryota; Metazoa; Chordata; Mammalia; Rodentia; Muridae
Rfam family: tRNA
About the family: Transfer RNA (tRNA) molecules are approximately 80 nucleotides in length. Their secondary structure includes four short double-helical elements and three loops (D, anti-codon, and T loops).
Source: Rfam by way of RNAcentral